This 274-nucleotide ribosomal RNA is filed under the name uncultured bacterium. RNAcentral's name for it is "partial 16S ribosomal RNA". It matches the Rfam family "Bacterial small subunit ribosomal RNA", at positions 523 to 796 of the family's 1533-position model. The record is from RNAcentral.
AUACGAAGGGGGCUAGCGUUGUUCGGAAUCACUGGGCGUAAAGCGCACGUAGGUGGACUAAUUAGUUGAGGGUGAAAUCCCGGGGCUUAACCUCGGAACUGCCUUCAAUACUGUUAGUCUUGAGUCCGAGAGAGGUGAGUGGAAUUCCUAGUGUAGAGGUGAAAUUCGUAGAUAUUAGGAAGAACACCAGUGGCGAAGGCGGCUCACUGGCUCGGUACUGACGCUGAGGUGCGAAAGCGUGGGGAGCAAACAGGAUUAGAAACCCCAGUAGUCC